CCUACGGGAGGCAGCAGUGAGGAAUAUUGGUCAAUGGCCGUAAGGCUGAACCAGCCAAGUCGCGUGCAGGAAGAAGGAUCUAUGGUUUGUAAACUUCUUUUAUACGGGAAUAAAGGCAUCUACGUGUGGAUAUCUGAAUGUAUCCUAUGAAUAAGCAUCGGCUAACUCCGUGCCAGCAGCCGCGGUAAUACGGAGGAUGCGAGCGUUAUCCGGAUUUAUUGGGUUUAAAGGGUGCGUAGGUUGUCUGUUAAGUCAGCGGUGAAAGUUUGUGGCUCAACCAUAAAAUUGCCGUUGAAACUGGAAGACUUGAGUGUGUUUGAGGUAGGCGGAAUGUGUGGUGUAGCGGUGAAAUGCAUAGAUAUCACGCAGAACACCGAUUGCGAAGGCAGCUUACUAAGCCAUAACUGACGCUGAAGCACGAAAGCGUGGGGAUCAAACAGGAUUAGAUACCCGUGUAGUC
Molecule: ribosomal RNA, 460 nt
Filed under: uncultured bacterium
Lineage: Bacteria
Description: partial 16S ribosomal RNA
Rfam family: Bacterial small subunit ribosomal RNA
Source: RNAcentral